UACACACCGCCCGUCACACCAUGGGAGUGGGUCGCACCAGAAGUAGCUAGUCUAACCGCAAGGGGGACGGUUACCACGGUGUGAUUCAUGACUGGGGUGAAGUCGUAACAAGGUACCC
This 118-nucleotide ribosomal RNA is filed under the name uncultured bacterium. RNAcentral's name for it is "partial 16S ribosomal RNA". It matches the Rfam family "Bacterial small subunit ribosomal RNA", at positions 1384 to 1501 of the family's 1533-position model. The record is from RNAcentral.